CCUACGGGUGGCAGCAGUGGGGAAUAUUGCACAAUGGGGGAAACCCUGAUGCAGCGACGCCGCGUGAGUGAAGAAGUAGUUCGUUAUGUAAAGCUCUAUCAGCAGGGAAGAAAAUGACGGUACCUGAGUAAGAAGCCCCGGCUAACUACGUGCCAGCAGCCGCGGUAAUACGUAGGGGGCAAGCGUUAUCCGGAUUUACUGGGUGUAAAGGGAGCGUAGACGGCAGUGCAAGUCUGGAGUGAAAGGCGGGGGCUCAACCCCCGGACUGCUCUGGAAACUGUACGGCUGGAGUGCAGGAGAGGUAAGUGAAAUUCCUAGUGUGGAGGUGAAAUGCGUAGAUAUUAGGAGGAACACCAGGGGAGAGGGGGGCUUACUGGACUGUAACUGACGUGGAGGCUCGAAGGCGUGGGGAGCAAACAGGAUUAGAGACCUUUGUAGUC
RNAcentral lists this ribosomal RNA (440 nucleotides) under uncultured bacterium. RNAcentral's name for it is "partial 16S ribosomal RNA". It matches the Rfam family "Bacterial small subunit ribosomal RNA", at positions 338 to 795 of the family's 1533-position model. The record is from RNAcentral.